CCUACGGGAGGCUGCAGUCGAGGAUCUUCGGCAAUGAGCGCAAGCUUGACCGAGCGACGCCGCGUGGAUGAUGAAGGCCUUCGGGUUGUAAAAUCCUGUCGAGGGGGAUCAAGGGCAACUUGAGUGAUCCCUGGAGGAAGGGCGGGCUAAGUUCGUGCCAGCAGCCGCGGUAAGACGAACUGCCCAAACGUUGUUCGGAAUCACUGGGCUUAAAGGGCGCGUAGGCGGCGAUUCAAGUCAGGGGUGAAAUCCGGCAGCUCAACUGUCGAAGUGCCUUUGAUACUGAAUUGCUCGAGGGAGGUAGGGGUGUGUGGAACUUCUGGUGGAGCGGUGAAAUGCGUUGAUAUCAGAAGGAACGCCGGUGGCGAAAGCGACGCACUGGACCUUUUCUGACGCUGAGGCGCGAAAGCUAGGGGAGCAAACGGGAUUAGAUACCCGAGUAGUC
RNAcentral lists this ribosomal RNA (445 nucleotides) under uncultured bacterium. Its description in RNAcentral is "bacterial SSU rRNA". It matches the Rfam family "Bacterial small subunit ribosomal RNA", at positions 338 to 795 of the family's 1533-position model. The record is from RNAcentral.